This 433-nucleotide ribosomal RNA is filed under the name uncultured bacterium. Its description in RNAcentral is "partial 16S ribosomal RNA". It matches the Rfam family "Bacterial small subunit ribosomal RNA", at positions 29 to 507 of the family's 1533-position model. The record is from RNAcentral.
AACGAACGCUGGCGGCAGGCCUAACACAUGCAAGUCGAGCGAGGACUUCGGUCCUAGCGGCGGACGGGUGAGUAACGCGUGGGAACGUGCCCUUUGCUUCGGAAUAGCCCUGGGAAACUGGGAGUAAUACCGGAUGAGCCCUUUGGGGGAAAGAUUUAUCGGCGAAGGAUCGGCCCGCGUUGGAUUAGGUAGUUGGUGGGGUAAUGGCCUACCAAGCCGACGAUCCAUAGCUGGUUUGAGAGGAUGAUCAGCCACACUGGGACUGAGACACGGCCCAGACUCCCUCGGGGGGGAAGAAGGGGGGAACUUAGGCCAUGGGGGGAAACCUGAACCUGCCCAGGCGGGUGAACGGUUGAGGGCUUAGGGUUGUAAAGGUCUUUCAGCUGGGAAAGUUAAGGCCGUUACAGGAAGAAGAGGCCCGGGCAACUCCGUG